CUUCCGCAAUGGGCGAAAGCCUGACGGAGCAACGCCGCGUGAGUGAUGAAGGUCUUCGGAUCGUAAAGCUCUGUUGUUAGGGAAGAACAAAUGUGUAAGUAACUGUGCACAUCUUGACGGUACCUAACCAGAAAGCCACGGCUAACUACGUGCCAGCAGCCGCGGUAAUACGUAGGUGGCAAGCGUUAUCCGGAAUUAUUGGGCGUAAAGCGCGCGUAGGCGGUUUUUUAAGUCUGAUGUGAAAGCCCACGGCUCAACCGUGGAGGGUCAUUGGAAACUGGAAAACUUGAGUGCAGAAGAGGAAAGUGGAAUUCCAUGUGUAGCGGUGAAAUGCGCAGAGAUAUGGAGGAACACCAGUGGCGAAGGCGGCUUUCUGGUCUGCAACUGACGCUGAUGUGCGAAAGCGUGGGGAUCAAACAGGAUUAGAUACCCUGGUAGUCCACGCCGUAAACGAUGAGUGCUAAGUGUUAGGG
Molecule: ribosomal RNA, 473 nt
Filed under: Staphylococcus pseudintermedius
Lineage: Bacteria; Bacillati; Bacillota; Bacilli; Caryophanales; Staphylococcaceae
Description: bacterial SSU rRNA
Rfam family: Bacterial small subunit ribosomal RNA
Source: RNAcentral